CUUGCAAAAGCUGGGGUGGUGAGAGAAGCCAACCACAAUGUCUACUUUGAUAAUCACAAUGCUGACCUUCCUUAACCCUGCCAUCUUUAUUCUGAUUUUGCCCCCAAUAAUUCUGGAGUUCCAUUUAUACAGUCUUAGUGUCCCAGAUUAGUUGGGGCAAGCCUAUAUUGGCUUUGAUCGUCUCUUUGUUAUUUUUCUGGUAUGUUUGACGUCUGAUGGCUCAUCAGGAUCUUUUCUAAGUUCUGCCAAUCCUCACUGCUGGGAAUUCUUUUUGUUUUCAAGCAAGUCACUUGAGACCUUGCUCCCUGUAAGUCUCCAUUUGGAGAUUUUUUAU
Molecule: long non-coding RNA, 334 nt
Filed under: Theobroma cacao (cacao)
Lineage: Eukaryota; Viridiplantae; Streptophyta; Magnoliopsida; Malvales; Malvaceae
Description: long non-coding RNA (TCAC_LNC003455)
Source: RNAcentral